AAUGAUACCAAUAUAAAUUGA
This 21-nucleotide small nuclear RNA is filed under the name Arabidopsis thaliana (thale cress). RNAcentral describes it as "snRNA_10389". The record is from RNAcentral. Lineage: Eukaryota; Viridiplantae; Streptophyta; Magnoliopsida; Brassicales; Brassicaceae.